Molecule: transfer RNA, 127 nt
Filed under: Spirochaetota bacterium
Lineage: Bacteria; Pseudomonadati; Spirochaetota
Description: Spirochaetes bacterium (freshwater sediment metagenome) tRNA-OTHER
Rfam family: tRNA
About the family: Transfer RNA (tRNA) molecules are approximately 80 nucleotides in length.
Source: RNAcentral
GGUACGGUAGCUCAGUUGGUAGAGCAGCUUACUUUUAUUGAUUGUUGCCUGACAUGUUCAGUGCCGUAGAUAAAAGUUACUUCGACUAUUAAUCGGCUGGUCGCAGGUUCGAAUCCCGCCCGUACCA